UCAUCAGGUGGGAUCAUCCUUACCUGUUUCUCCUUUUGGAGGGCAGAUCAGAACAUGAUGAUUGGAGAAGAAUGAAACGUGAUUAAUAACUCUGUGUAAUCAGGCCUUGCAGCACCCCAAUUGAGCCUUUCUGAU
Molecule: small nucleolar RNA, 135 nt
Organism: Homo sapiens (human)
Lineage: Eukaryota; Metazoa; Chordata; Mammalia; Primates; Hominidae
Gene: U8
Rfam family: U8 small nucleolar RNA
About the family: U8 is a member of the C/D class of snoRNA which contain the C (UGAUGA) and D (CUGA) box motifs. U8 is the RNA component of a small complex (the U8 snoRNP) which is required for accumulation of mature large subunit ribosomal RNAs, 5.8S and 28S rRNAs.
Source: Ensembl